AGCCACGUGGUUCUGCCAGAGACCCCAGGACGAGGAGUCCACACCCUGCUGCUGCAGGAACUCCUCCCCGGUGCACCUGGACACAGCCCAGUGAGGAACCAUCAUCAUCAUCAUCAUCAUCAUCAUCAUCAUCAUACAUCUCUAGGUGGAGCCGGUUCUUAAUAAAUAUCUUGACUUACACGACUCCGGGUGGAUUGAUGGUGCUGUUCCCGCUGCAGAGCGCCAACCCCCGAAACUCAUUAACCUGCAGAGCCUGAGAGACGAGAGCGUCAUCAACAGAAAACUGCUGUGUGCCAGGACGUUCCCACGCCGGCAGUCUGCUGCGGACGUGUUUUGUGUAUCCAACUG
This is a long non-coding RNA of Cottoperca gobio, 348 nucleotides long. RefSeq lists it as uncharacterized. Lineage: Eukaryota; Metazoa; Chordata; Actinopteri; Perciformes; Bovichtidae. The record is from RefSeq and is a predicted model, not a curated record. The transcript is spliced from 3 exons.